RNAcentral lists this unclassified non-coding RNA (274 nucleotides) under plant metagenome. Its description in RNAcentral is "partial contains small subunit ribosomal RNA and internal transcribed spacer 1". The stretch from base 1 to 46 matches the Rfam family "Eukaryotic small subunit ribosomal RNA", at positions 1786 to 1831 of the family's 1831-position model. The record is from RNAcentral.
AAGUCGUAACAAGGUUUCCGUAGGUGAACCUGCGGAAGGAUCAUUACAAAUAAAGCUGGUAGGAAGUGGGGUCUUGAUCUGUAAGUGGUAGAGCGAACAGUCCGGCUGCCUCCCGAAAUGUCUUACAUCCCCAUCCCCAACGCCUGCAAGGCCAGGAACUUGAAUCAAACCCCUUUGAUUAUCUACACUUGUCUUUGGGGUGUGCUCAAGUGCCCCCAGAGGACCCAAACUCUCUUGCAUUUAGUGACGUCUGAGUACUAUAUAAUAUUUAAAA